Molecule: ribosomal RNA, 433 nt
Filed under: uncultured bacterium
Lineage: Bacteria
Description: partial 16S ribosomal RNA
Rfam family: Bacterial small subunit ribosomal RNA
Source: RNAcentral
AACGAACGCUGGCGGCAUGCCUAACACAUGCAAGUCGAACGAGACCUUCGGGUCUAGUGGCGCACGGGUGCGUACCGCGUGGGAACCUGCCCUUAGGUUCGGAAUAACUCCCCGAAAGGGGUGCUAAUACCGGAUAAUGUCUUCGGACCAAAGAUUUAUCGCCUUUGGAUGGGCGCGCGUUGGUUUAGCUGGUUGGUAGGGUAAAAGCAUACCAAGGCGACGAUCCAUAGCUGGUCUGAGAGGAUGAUCAGCCACACUGGGACUGAGACACGGACCAGAAUCGUACGGGAGGCAGCAGUGGGGUAUAUUGGACAAUGGGGGAAAGUCUGAUACAGCCGUGCCGCGUGAGUGAUGAAGGCGGUAGGGUUGUAAAGCUGUUUUACCCGAGAUGAUAAUGACAGUAACGGGAGAAUAAGCACCGGCUAACUCCGUG